GACGAACGCUGGCGGCGUGCUUAACACAUGCAAGUCGAACGGAAAGGCGCUGCGCUUGUGUCGUUCUCGAGUGGCGAACGGGUGAGUAACACGUGAGUAACCUGCACUUGAAUUUGGGAUAACUUCAGGGAACUGGGGCUAAUACCGGAUAGGAUCUUCUGCUCCGUAGUGUUGGUUGGAAAGUGUCGGCGGUUGGGGAUGUAAUCGCGGCUUAUCAGCUUGUUGGUGGGGUAGUGGAUCACCAAGGCUUUGACGGGUAGCCGGCCUGAGCGGGUGACCGGCCACAUUGGGACUGAGAGACGGCACAGACUCCUACGGGAGCCAGCAGUGGGGAAUACUGCCCAAUGGGCGGAAGCCUGAUGCAGCAACGCCGCGUGCGGGAUGACGGCCUUCGGGUUGUAAAACGCUUUCGCCUGUGACGAAGCGUGAGUGACGGUAAUGGGUACAGAAGCACCGGCUAACUACGUG
Molecule: ribosomal RNA, 468 nt
Filed under: uncultured bacterium
Lineage: Bacteria
Description: partial 16S ribosomal RNA
Rfam family: Bacterial small subunit ribosomal RNA
Source: RNAcentral